Molecule: long non-coding RNA, 713 nt
Organism: Solanum lycopersicum (tomato)
Lineage: Eukaryota; Viridiplantae; Streptophyta; Magnoliopsida; Solanales; Solanaceae
Source: RefSeq, a predicted model, not a curated record
AAUUAUUUUGCUUUAGUUCUUUGAUCAGUUUUCAUAUUUUCCAUCAUUCUCCCCAUUUUCGCUCUUGGGAGAAGGAGAAGAAGCGACCUACAAUGGAGGUGUUACAUUUUCGUAGAGGGAGAGCAAAUUGAUGGAAAAUUAGAGGGUCUAUCCAUUGCCUCAAUAAUGUUCGCUCCACGGAGACAGCUAAAUUUCAAAGAGGCACUGACUGGGUGUCGAAUGAACAGUGUACUGGUCUGUCUCAUUUACGGAAAAGAAGAUCUAUGGGUGACACCUAUUUGGGAUUUACAAGUGAAACGUUAGUUCCUGAAAGCUCCAUAUAAUCAUAUUAGUCUCACCGCCCCCAUGAUGAAGUCCCAGAGCGUCCUCCUCCCUUUGACCUUACGGGAGAGACAAUACCACUAUGUUGCCAUUUGAAUUUAAAAGCUUGGCGUGCUUGAAAGUGAGAUAAGAAUGAACUUUAUACUCAUAUUAACCAAGGUGUACUCGUUUUGUCUCCAUUAUUUCUCUAGACCCAAGCCAUCAACGGAGCUUGUUCGAACAAAGGUGAAGGCGCCUUGCGGUUCUCCUAUAUAUUAGUGUGUAUGUAUGAGUUACAAUUUAUGAUAGAAAGAACACAUUCCGAAGAAAUUAUAUUAAAACUCAGUCUCAAUGUAUUCACAUAAAUUUUAUCCUAAACAUGUUUUAUUGAUGUCUCAAGAUUUUGAUUUAAA